UGGGGAAUAUUGCACAAUGGGCGCAAGCCUGAUGCAGCAACGCCGCGUGAAGGAUGAAGGCCUUCGGGUUGUAAACUUCUGUCCUAGGGGAAGAAACAAAUGACAUUACCCUUGGAGGAAGCCCCGGCUAACUACGUGCCAGCAGCCGCGGUAAUACGUAGGGGGCGAGCGUUAUCCGGAAUUAUUGGGCGUAAAGAGUGCGUAGGUGGCACCUUAAGCGCAGGGUUUAAGGCAAUGGCUCAACCAUUGUUCGCCUUGCGAACUGGGGUGCUUGAGUGCAGGAGGGGAAAGUGGAAUUCCUAGUGUAGCGGUGAAAUGCGUAGAUAUUAGGAGGAACACCAGUGGCGAAGGCGACUUUCUGGACUGUUACUGACACUGAGGCACGAAAGCGUGGGGAGCAAACAGGAUUAGAUACCCUGGUAGUCCACGCCGUAAACGAUGAGCACUAGGCGUCGGGGUCGCAAGACUUCGGUGCCGCAGUUAACGCAUUAAGUGCUCCGCCUGGGGAGUACGCACGCAAGUGUA
This 525-nucleotide ribosomal RNA is filed under the name uncultured bacterium. RNAcentral describes it as "bacterial SSU rRNA". It matches the Rfam family "Bacterial small subunit ribosomal RNA", at positions 355 to 896 of the family's 1533-position model. The record is from RNAcentral.